Molecule: ribosomal RNA, 496 nt
Filed under: uncultured bacterium
Lineage: Bacteria
Description: partial 16S ribosomal RNA
Rfam family: Bacterial small subunit ribosomal RNA
Source: RNAcentral
GAUGAACGCUGGCGGCGUGCCUAAUACAUGCAAGUCGAGCGAACGGACGAGAAGCUUGCUUCUCUGAUGUUAGCGGCGGACGGGUGAGUAACACGUGGAUAACCUACCUAUAAGACUGGGAUAACUUCGGGAAACCGGAGCUAAUACCGGAUAAUAUUUUGAACCGCAUGGUUCAAAAGUGAAAGACGGUCUUGCUGUCACUUAUAGAUGGAUCCGCGCUGCAUUAGCUAGUUGGUAAGGUAACGGCUUACCAAGGCAACGAUGCAUAGCCGACCUGAGAGGGUGAUCGGCCACACUGGAACUGAGACACGGUCCAGACUCCUACGGGAGGCAGCAGUAGGGAAUCUUCCGCAAUGGGCGAAAGCCUGACGGAGCAACGCCGCGUGAGUGAUGAAGGUCUGCGGAUCGUAAAACUCUGUUAUUAGGGAAGAACAUAUGUGUAAGUAACUGUGCACAUCUGGACGGUACCUAAGCAGAAAGCCACGGCUAACUACGU